RNAcentral lists this ribosomal RNA (558 nucleotides) under uncultured bacterium. RNAcentral's name for it is "bacterial SSU rRNA". It matches the Rfam family "Bacterial small subunit ribosomal RNA", at positions 88 to 677 of the family's 1533-position model. The record is from RNAcentral.
GAGUACAGUGGCGUACGGGUGAGUAACACGUGGAUGAUCUACCUUCUGGUGGGGAAUAACGCUGGGAAACCGGCGCUAAUACCGCAUAAGCCUGAAAAGGGAAAGCCGCAAGGCGCCGGAAGAGGAGUCCGCGGCCGAUUAGCUAGUUGGUAGGGUAAGAGCCUACCAAGGCCAAGAUCGGUAGCCGGCCUGAGAGGGCACACGGCCACACUGGCACUGAAACACGGGCCAGACUCCUACGGGAGGCAGCAGUGGGGAAUCUUGCACAAUGGGGGAAACCCUGAUGCAGCGACGCCGCGUGAGCGAUGAAGCCCUUCGGGGUGUAAAGCUCUUUCGACGGGAACGAUAAUGACGGUACCCGGAGAAGAAGCUGCGGCUAACUACGUGCCAGCAGCCGCGGUAAUACGUAGGCAGCAAGCGUUGUUCGGAGUUACUGGGCGUAAAGAGUAUGUAGGCGGCCUUGUAAGUUUGGUGUGAAAUCUCCCUGGCUCAACCGGGAGGGUGCGCCGAAAACUGCAGGGCUAGAGUGUGGGAGAGGAAAGCGGAAUUCCUGGUGUA